Molecule: long non-coding RNA, 1890 nt
Organism: Octopus bimaculoides (California two-spot octopus)
Lineage: Eukaryota; Metazoa; Mollusca; Cephalopoda; Octopoda; Octopodidae
Source: RefSeq, a predicted model, not a curated record
AUUUCAAUGGAACACACCUGAAACGUAACACAGUUAAAAUUUUGGCGUUGCUUGAAGUGGUAGUGCAUCUCUUCUUUGUUCCUGACUAAAAAUAGAUUUAUCUUUCAUUCUGGUUGCCCUUUAUUAACAUUUGAAAUGGAUAACCAAAAAUUUCAUAUUCUCGUUGUAAUGCUUUUAUUUUUUAAAAAAAGGAGAAAAUUCUUCAAAGACUUGCAAAAACAUUUGUGAAGUUUAUGGUGAUGAUGCUGGAUGUGAAUCAACUGUUCGAAGGUGGUUUGCAAAAUUUAAAGCUGGAGAUUUUAACUUAGAAGAUGAUAGUCGCAGUGAAGGACCUUCAAAAUUGGAUGAAGAUAUUUUGAAGGCAAAAAUCCAAGAAACCUCAAAUAUUACAAUUAGAGAGCUUACAGAGGAGUUGGAAGUUUCUAAAAGCACGGCUCAUGAACACCUAGUGAGACUACGAUAUAUUUCUCGCUAUAAUGUAUGGGUUCCUCACAAACGCUCAGAAAAAAAUUGCUUAGACAAGUAUUCCGUUUGUAAUGCGCUUUUGAAAUGGAACGAAAGCAUACCUUUUUUAAACAACUUGUAACUGGAGAUGAAAAAUGGAUUGUGUACGAAAACUUAUUGCGAAAAAGAUCCUGGAGUUUACGUAAGGAUCUUCCAAAUCAGCAAUCAAAGACGAAUAUCCAUUCCAAAAAAGCUAUGUUUUAUGUUUGGUGGGAUCAUAGAGGCAUUAUUUAUUAUGAGCUUCUCCCACAAAACCAGACUAUUAAUUUUGAUGUGUACUAUCGUCAGCUAGCUAAUUUGAACCAAAAAUUAACACCGGAGAUUGCCAACAGGAAAGGGGGGAUCGCUCCAACAAGACAAUGCCUGACCACAUGUGCCUUUGGCUACCCGAACAAAGUUACAUGAAUUUGGCUGGGAUCUCUUGCCCCAUCCACCAUAUUCUCCUGAUAUUACGCCAUCCGACUACCACUUGUUUUUGUCUCUAUAGAAUUCAUUGAAAGGAAAAACAUUUAACGAUUUAGAUGGAGUUAUCUCGAUAACUUUUUUUCUUCAAAACCAAUCAAAUUUUAUGUUGAUGGAAUAUUUAAAUUGCCUGACAGAUGGGCAAAGGUCAUAGAUAAUAAUGGAAAUUAUUUCAUUCACUAAAAUUUAUUGGAAGGUUAAUUAUUUAUAUCCCUUUUUGCAUAUUAAAAAACGCUCAGAACUUUCCGGACAACCUAAUAUAUACAGGAGUACGACGAGCAGGACGAACAUGAAAAGGAGAAUAACUCUUUUGACUGCGGCCGUGCUGGAGCAUCACCUUGAAGAGUUUUAGUCGAAGGGAUCGACGCCAGGACUUAUUCUUUGUACAAGGUCACAAAUCCAUGACACAAUCGAUUAAAUCAUCCCCAUUAUCUGAUUGGUAAUUUAUUUUAUCGAAAAUUUGGAAAGGGAAAUUAUUAUUGCUGAAUCCUUAGAUGAGACCACAAUAUUCAAAGACCAAAAUCUUAAGGCCAAUAAUUUUGAGGAAAGAAGAAAGUCGAUUACAUCGACCCUGGUAAUUAUUCCGUCGACCACGAAAGAAUGAAAAGUAAGGAUGACUUCGGCGGUAUUUGAACUCAGAAUCUAAAGCAGGAAGAAAUUCCACUAAGCAUUUUGCCCCGCACAGCAACAAAUGACGUACUAUUAGAUAGACGAUGUCUGAGAAGAGAAAAUGACUUGAUGAUCAUGGAUAGAAUCAUGAUCAACGUGGCUCUAAACAACAAGAAACAUAUGUACCAUCACCACCAUACACUUGUUAACUGUUUUGGUCAAAUCAUUUUCAGAAAGCUGGGUUUGCGAUAUGACACGAACCACCAAGCAAGCAACACAUAAACGGGCAUUAAAUCUCCUCUUGAGCAAGUGAAA